UACGGGGGGAGCAAGCGUUGUUCGGAUUUACUGGGCGUAAAGGGCGCGUAGGCGGCCACCGCAAGUCGACUGUGAAAUCUCCGGGCUUAACCCGGAAAGGUCAGCCGAUACUGCGGGGCUAGAGUGCAGAAGGGGCAACUGGAAUUCUCGGUGUAGCGGUGAAAUGCGUAGAUAUCGAGAGGAACACCUGCGGCGAAGGCGGGUUGCUGGACAUUAACUGACGCUGAGGCGCGAAAGCGUGGGGAGCAAACAGG
RNAcentral lists this ribosomal RNA (254 nucleotides) under uncultured bacterium. RNAcentral describes it as "partial 16S ribosomal RNA". It matches the Rfam family "Bacterial small subunit ribosomal RNA", at positions 524 to 776 of the family's 1533-position model. The record is from RNAcentral.